Molecule: ribosomal RNA, 468 nt
Filed under: uncultured bacterium
Lineage: Bacteria
Description: partial 16S ribosomal RNA
Rfam family: Bacterial small subunit ribosomal RNA
Source: RNAcentral
GACGAACGCUGGCGGCGUGCUUAGCACAUGCAAGUCGAACGGACAGACGCUGAUCUUGUGGGUUGCUCGAGUGGCGAGCGGGUGAGUAAAACGUGUGUAACCUGCCCUUAUCUGUCGGAUAACAUCAGGGAACUGGGGCUCAAACCGGGUAUGAGCUACUGAUGCAUGGGGGGGGUUGGAAAGAGUCGGCUGUUCGGGAUGGACUCGCGGCUUAUCAGCUUGAUGGGGGGGUAGUGGAUUACGAAGGUUUUGACGGGUAGCCGGCCUUGGAGGGUUACCGGGCACAUGGGGACUGAGAGACGGACCAGACGGCUACGGUAGGCAGUAGGCGAGAACAUUGCACAAUGGGCGGACGCCUGAUGCAGCAACCCCGCGUGCGGGAUGACGGCCUUCGGGUGGUAAACCGCUUUCGCAUGUGAUGAAGCGUGAGUGACGGUAAUGGGUAAAGAAGCACCGGCUAACUACGUG